Long non-coding RNA from Oreochromis aureus, 1865 nucleotides. NCBI's taxonomy places the organism in Eukaryota, Metazoa, Chordata, Actinopteri, Cichliformes, Cichlidae. The record is from Ensembl.
AGAGAUCAGUGUGUGGACACAAGAGCUGGAGAUUCACACAGAAUGAGGUGAACUUUCUGUGUGUUUGUGCUUUGGAAAGAGAGACUGUAUCCUGUGGAGAGAAGCCGUGCUGUCUAAAGUGUCAAAUCAGAAUGUUAACUCUCAUCUGGGUGAUUCUGCUGUUCGCUGAUAAAGGUUUGACUAGGAGCACUCCUCCAGUCUGUACAAAGAGCAAAGACAAUGUCACGUUAAGUCAAAUAAAUAUAACAGCAGAGGCUGGACUAUAUGCAGUGUUACCAUGUUCUUUUACUACAGACGAUGGGUUUGAUGCCAAAAGUAUAACUUUGUACAAACAUGGUAAAACAAUAUUUGACUCCAGUGAUGAUCAAAAAAACAACUCUGAGUUUCAAAGGCGAGUCUCACUACUGGAGUCUGACCUGAAGAUGAAGAACUGCAGCGUCAUCAUUAAUGACCUCACCGAGACAGACUCUGGAUCAUAUCAAGUCAGAGUGUCUGAUAACAAGACGGAGCAUGGCUGCACAUUGAAGUUCACAGUCACAGUUACAGAUCUUCAGGAACUAAAGAUCAGUGGAAGUACAGUUGUGAAGAAGGGUGCUACCCUUAAUCUAACUUGCAGUGCUGACAGUUUCAUUGCAUCUUCUAUCAACUGGAUUAAAUCUGACUCCAACAAAAACUUGAACAGAAAAAAUGAAAAUAAAAACACAAAAGGCAAUGGGUCAGCCUCGCUUACCAUUUUUAAUAUGACACCAGAACUUUCUGGACAGUACAAGUGUAUAGCAACACACAAGAACAAAAACAUUACGAAAACCAUUGAUGUAAAAUUAUUUGCAGCUGGUCCAAGAAUUUUGAAUAGCUCUGGGUGUGAGGUUCAAUCAGAGGUCCUGAGCUGUAUGUGCAUCAGUGAGGAGUUUCCUCCACCCACCAUAAAAUGGCCACAUUUAAAGAGCCACACUGAGUACUCUGUAACAACCAACGUGUCAAACGCCAGAGUCACCAGCACCAUCACUGUGUUUCUAAAACACUAUCACUACACCACUAUUGAGUGUGUCACCAGUAAAGAUAAUGAGCAUAUAAAGAAUGAAGAUGUAUUCAAACAAAGAAAUGAAGAACCAAAAGUUAAGACUGCAGCAUUGAGGGGGUUUCUGAUUGGGGUCAUUGUUUUAGCAAUCAUUGGUUUUUUGGUAACACGAUGCUACAGAAAAAAUCAGAGUUCUGAAAACCUGUCUGAAGACCUGGACGUGGUGACCACUGACGCUGUUCCACUGAUGGAUGCUGAUAAAGCAGCAACAAAUAAUAGGAUCCAUGAACCAGGCAAAGUUAAAAGAGAAGCUGAGUCUACUGCAUAAUCAGUGCCCGUUAGUGAUGUGGGACCAAAAGAGGUUGAGUACUCUGACACUGACUUCUCUGUGAUAAAGAGGCAUAGAAGAUACAGGAUACCAGAGAAAUGGAGUAUGCUAAAAUUAAGACAAAGAAGAGAAAAUGAUGGGGUGUCUGCCUUUUUGUUUGAUUAUAGUUUUCUCUUGUUUUUCUUCGUUACCAACUCCUUUUUAGUGUCAAAUAACUCAACGAACUAACGCAUUAAUGUUGUGGUUUGGCCACCCCUAGAUGGGCCAUAACAGGUGGACAGUGCCAGAAGGCUGAUUGGUGUGAUCAGUCCUCAUAUUUCAGUUGCCAGCUGGGACCAGAGAAAGGAAAGCUGCACUAGCAACAAGUCAGCUGAACAGCUGCACAGUGCAAUUUUAAAAAGUUGCAGAUGAAACGUAACCAGCCCUUUAACAGCCUGUACAUGUGGGUCCUUUGUGUCACAGAUUAUUAUUAUUUUAUUUUGGUUUUGCUUUGCUGCUGGUAAAUUGCUUUAAUAAAAU